AGAGUUUGAUCCUGGCUCAGAAUCAACGCUGGCGGCGCGCCUAACACAUGCAAGUCGAACGAGAAAGUGGAGCAAUCCAUGAGUAAAGUGGCGUACGGGUGAGUAACACGUGGAUUAUCUGCCCUUUUGUGGGGAAUACCGCUGGGAAACCGGCGACAAUACCGCAUAAGCCCGAGAGGGGAAAGCAGCAAUGCGCAGAAGGAGGAGUCCGCGGUCGAUUAGUUAGUUGGCGGGGUAAAGGCCCACCAAGACUGUGAUCGAUAGCCGGCCUGAGAGGGCACACGGCCACACUGGCACUGAAACACGGGCCAGACUCCUACGGGAGGCAGCAGUGGGGAAUCUUGCACAAUGGGGGAAACCCUGAUGCAGCGACGCCGCGUGAGCGAUGAAGCCCCUCGGGGUGUAAAGCUCUUUCGGCAGGGAAGAUUAUGACGGUACCUGCAAAAGCAGCUGCGGCUAACUACGUGCCAGCAGCCGCGGUAAUACGUAGGCAGCAAGCGUUGUUCGGAGUUACUGGGCGUAAAGGGUGCGUAGGCGGCUUUUUAAGUUUGGUGUGAAAUCUCCCGGCUCAACUGGGAGGGUGCGCCGAAUACUGAGAGGCUAGAGUGUGGGAGAGGAAAGUGGAAUUCCUGGUGUAGCGGUGAAAUGCGUAGAUAUCAGGAGGAACACCGGUGGUGUAAACGGCUUUCUGGACCAUAACUGACGCUGAGGCACGAAAGCGUGGGUAGCAAACAGGAUUAGAUACCCUGGUAGUCCACGCCCUAAACGAUGCAUAUUUGGUGUGGGCCAUUCAUUUGGUCCGUGCCGGAGCUAACGCGUUAAAUAUGCCGCCUGGGGAGUACAGUCGCAAGGCUGAAACUCAAAGGAAUGACGAA
Molecule: ribosomal RNA, 875 nt
Filed under: uncultured bacterium
Lineage: Bacteria
Description: bacterial SSU rRNA
Rfam family: Bacterial small subunit ribosomal RNA
Source: RNAcentral